RNAcentral lists this long non-coding RNA (572 nucleotides) under Mytilus galloprovincialis (Mediterranean mussel). The record is from RNAcentral. Lineage: Eukaryota; Metazoa; Mollusca; Bivalvia; Mytilida; Mytilidae.
UGAAAAUACAGAUCCUGUGUUCACGCUUGACAUUUAAGGAUCUGGGCCCAUAUGCCUAAAGCAACUUAAGUUAACUUUUUUUCCGAAAGGAUAGAUUUGUUCUUCUUGUCCUAGUACGAUGAAUAAGUACCGGUAGUACGAUUGGAUAUUUUAACUAAAAUGGUUUUAUGCAUAUCAGCCCUGCUAACAUCUCUUCUACUUGUUGUUCUCGAAAUCAUUACAUCAGUCAGUGAAAUUUCUAAGGGUUAUCAUGACGACAAAACCAGAAGAUUCCGAAAUGUCUUUCAAACAGAGAGUAGAAUAGAGUGUUGCCAGAUCUUUGUGCGUGAUGCGAGGUACAGGGUCUUAAUUUAUUUCAAUCGAAUGUAAUUUUUUGUACAUAUAGAGUUUUUGAAAAGUGGUGGUCCGAAGAUUUUGACCACCAUAGUUUUCAAAGGAAUGACACACAUUUGGGAUUUUGGACAUAUAAGUUAAUAUGCCUAGUGAGGAUCAGCAGACAUUCACCAAGGACCUCCAGAGAAAUUUUGUUUUUGAGAACUCUGUCAUAAUGUAUUAAUUUGCAUAUUUUUGUU